This is a long non-coding RNA of Brassica oleracea var. oleracea, 431 nucleotides long. RefSeq lists it as uncharacterized. The transcript is spliced from 2 exons. Lineage: Eukaryota; Viridiplantae; Streptophyta; Magnoliopsida; Brassicales; Brassicaceae. The record is from RefSeq and is a predicted model, not a curated record.
UACACAUAUAUUCUUAUGUAGAACUCCAAUGGAUAGAAUCCCCGUCAGGAGGUGCUCUAAGGUCAUGCUGAAAUUUUAUUUCUAAAAUCAGAUUUACUGUCUCUCCGAAAAGUCUUAUCGGUGUUAAUGCCGAUCUCCCUGGUCUAAUUGGCUGUUUAGCCACAUCCAGCUUCUCAACGGACAAUGCCGCAUUCCAAACCUUUUCGUUUGAUUCCAUCAAUGUCGAUUCCGACUAUUUCAUGUUCGCUGGAGCAACUGUUUCAAAGGUACAAGUGGAUUUCUUUUCAGAUGUUUCUUUACAAUGAGCAAGUCUCCAUGUAACAUCUCUAUCCUUUUUUGUUUUAUCGUUCUACUUUUGUUGUUCGCAUACCCUUGAGUUUCACUUUGGUUGUUAUCGAUUUAUUUUUACUCCGGUUGGAAUUAAUUAAGCA